UCUCCGAAUUCAAAAAAUGAAUGGAAUAAUUUAUCCCUUAUAUUCCACCCUCAUAAAUAGGCCACUGCUUCUACCUGUAGUGUAUGUUAUUACCAUUUUGACAAAUAGUUGCGUGGGUGACUCUUAUCGAUGUAAUGUUUCAAAGUGCGGGGAAUAGCGAAUAUAAAUCCAGGUUCACACUAGGAUAAUAUACUAGGUCGAAUCACUAAAGCACAUUGCUAAAUUGUAAACUAAAUAGUGUUUAGUGACACAGUGUUGCAAUAAUAAUAAUAAUUGACUAGUAUAGUUCAUUCUAUUAGUGUUUACAUGUAUGUUUGUACAUUUUCUUGAAAAAUGACUAAAAAAUCAAGACCCGGCGUCCAAAAUUUGUAC
This is a non-coding RNA of Cinara cedri, 372 nucleotides long. NCBI's taxonomy places the organism in Eukaryota, Metazoa, Arthropoda, Insecta, Hemiptera, Aphididae. The record is from the annotation of a GenBank genome assembly.